This 485-nucleotide ribosomal RNA is filed under the name uncultured Ascomycota. RNAcentral describes it as "eukaryotic LSU rRNA". The stretch from base 153 to 306 matches the Rfam family "5.8S ribosomal RNA". Lineage: Eukaryota; Fungi; Ascomycota. The record is from RNAcentral.
CAUUACAGGGUUUAACAUCCCCUAUAAACCAUUGUGAACCUACCUAUAUUUCUUUGGCAGGCGGCCCCAGGGCGGGGCCGGUAGCCGCAAGGUGCCUGCCAGAGGACCUAAACUCGUUGUUACUGUCGUCUGAGUAUCAUACCAAUAGUCAAAACCUUCAACAACGGAUCUCUUGGUUCUGGCAUCGAUGAAGAACGCAGCGAAAUGCGAUAAGUAAUGUGAAUUGCAGAAUUCAGUGAAUCAUCGAAUCUUUGAACGCACAUUGCGCCCACCAGCAUUCUGAUGGGCAUGCCUGUUCGAGCGUCAUUUCAACCCUCAGGCUCCGCCUGGUGUUGGGGCCCUGUGUUUCUACAGGCCCCGAAAGACAGUGGCGGGCUCCGUAGGACCCCGAGCGUAGUACAUCUCUCGCUCCGGGCGUUCGCGGCUCCCAGCCGUCAACCCUAUUUUAUACUAUAAAGUUGACCUCGGAUCAGGUAGGAAUACCC